Molecule: ribosomal RNA, 440 nt
Filed under: uncultured bacterium
Lineage: Bacteria
Description: partial 16S ribosomal RNA
Rfam family: Bacterial small subunit ribosomal RNA
Source: RNAcentral
CCUACGGGCGGCAGCAGUAGGGAAUAUUGCUCAAUGGGGGAAACCCUGAAGCAGCAACGCCGCGUGGAGGAUGAAGGCUCUCGGAUUGUAAACUCCUUUUGUCAGAGAAGAUACUGACGGUAUCUAACGAAUAAGCACCGGCUAACUCCGUGCCAGCAGCCGCGGUAAAACGGAGGGUGCAAGCGUUACUCGGAAUCACUGGGCGUAAAGAGCGCGUAGGCGGGAUAGCAAGUCACAUGUGAAAUCCUAUGGCUUAACCAUAGAACUGCAUUUGAAACUGUUGUUCUAGAGUGUGGGAGAGGUAGGUGGAAUUCUUGGUGUAGGGGUAAAAUCCGUAGAGAUCAAGAAGAAUACUCAUUGCGAAGGCGACCUGCUGGAACAUAACUGACGCUGAUGCGCGAAAGCGUGGGGAGCGAACAGGAUUAGAUACCCGUGUAGUC